CCUACGGGAGGCAGCAGUGGGGAAUAUUGCACAAUGGGGGAAACCCUGAUGCAGCGACGCCGCGUGAGUGAAGAAGUAAUUCGUUAUGUAAAGCUCUAUCAGCAGGGAAGAAAAUGACGGUACCUGAGUAAGAAGCCCCGGCUAACUACGUGCCAGCAGCCGCGGUAGUACGAAGGGGGCAGGCGUUAUCCGGAUUUACUGGGGGUAAAGGGAGCGUAGACGGAGGUGAAAGUCUGUGGUGAAAGGCGGGGCUCAACCCCCGGACUGCACUGGAAACUGUACGGCUGGAGUGCAGGAGAGGUAAGUGGAAGUCCUAGUGUAGCGGUGAAAUGCGUAGAUAUCAGGAGGAACGCCAGUGGCGAAGGCAGCUUACUGGACUGUAACUGACGUUGAGGCUCGAAAGCGUGGGGAGCAAACAGGAUUAGAUACCCUUGUAGUC
Molecule: ribosomal RNA, 439 nt
Filed under: uncultured bacterium
Lineage: Bacteria
Description: partial 16S ribosomal RNA
Rfam family: Bacterial small subunit ribosomal RNA
Source: RNAcentral